CUUUCUUUACCUUCACUUUGGCUGGCUUAGCCUUCUCCUUCACAGGUUCUGCUUUAGCCUUCUCCUUCACAGGUUCUGGCUUAGCUUUCUCCUUUACAGCUUCUGGCUUAGCCUUCUCCUUUACAGCUUCUGGCUUACCCUUCUUUACAGCUUCUGGCUUAGUCUUCUUUACAGGGGUGGGUUCUGCUUUAGCCUUCUCCUUUGCAGGGUCUGGCUUAGUCUUCUUUACAGGGGUGGGUUCUGCUUUAGCCUUCUCCUUUGCAGGUUCUGCUUUAGCCUUCUCCUUCACAGGUUCUGCUUUAGCCUUCUCCUUUGCAGGGUCUGGCUUAGUCUUCUUUACAGGGGUGGGUUCUGCUUUAGCCUUCUCCUUUGCAGGUUCUGCUUUAGCCUUCUCCUUCACAGGUUCUGCUUUAGCCUUCUCCUUCACAGCUUCUGGCUUAGUCUUCUUUACAGGGGUGGGUUCUGCUUUAGCCUUCUCCUUUGCAGGGUCUGGUUUAGCUUCAUCCUUUACAGGUGCAGGUUCUGGCUUAGCCUUCCUUACAGGGGUGGGUUCUGCUUUAGCCUUCUCCUUUGCAGGUUCUGCUUUAGCCUUCUCCUUCACAGCUUCUGGCUUAGUCUUCUUUACAGGGGUGGGUUCUGCUUUAGCCUUCUCCUUUGCAGGUUCUGGUUUAGCUUCAUCCUUUACAGGUGCAGGUUCUGGCUUAGCCUUCCUUACAGGGGUGGGUUCUGCUUUAGCCUUCUCCUUUGCAGGUUCUGCUUUAGCCUUCUCCUUCACAGCUUCUGGCUUAGUCUUCUUUACAGGGGUGGGUUCUGCUUUAGCCUUCUCCUUUGCAGGUUCUGGUUUAGCUUCAUCCUUUACAGGUGCAGGUUCUGGCUUAGCCUUCCUUACAGGGGUGGGUUCUGCUUUAGCCUUCUCCUUUGCAGGUUCUGCUUUAGCCUUCUCCUUCACAGGGGUGGGUUCUAGCUUAGCAUUCUCCUUCACAGGUACAGGCUUAGCCUUUUCUUUCAAAGGUGCAGCCUUGUCUUCCUCCUUCACAGGUACAGGCUUAGCCUUUUCUUUCAAAGGUGCAGCCUUGUCUUCCUCCUUCACAGGUACAGGCUUAGCUUUUUCUUUCAAAGGUGCAGCCUUGUCUUCCUCCUUCACAGGAACAGGCUUAGCUUUUUCUUUAGUUGGUUCUGGUCUAGCUUUCGCUUUAGGGAGCUCUGGCUUAACUUUCUCCUUAGCAGGCUCUGGCUUGGCUUUUUCCUUUACAGGCUCAGGCUUUGCUUUCUCCUUCAUGGUUUCUGGUUUAGCUUUUUCCUUAACAGCUUCUGGCUUUACCUUCUCUUUAGCAGGUUCUUUUUUAGCUUUGUCCUUCACAGGUUCUGCCUCAGCUUUCUCCUUCAUGGGUACUGGCUUAGCUUUUUCUUUUGCAGGUGCAGGUUCUGGUUUAGUCUUCUCUACUGCUGGUUCUGGCUCAGUUUUCUCCUUCAGAGCUUCUUUCUUAGCCUUUUCUUUCAGGGUCUUCAUUUUCUCCUUCACUGGUUCUGGCUUAACCUCCUCCCUUGUGGGCACUGGCUUUGCAGUUUCUUUUACAGUUAUUUUCUUAGCGGUUUCCUUUCCAGGUUCAAGCUUAAGUUCUUCCUUUUUGGGCUUAGGCUCAGCUUUCUCCUUCACAGGUUCUGGUGUAGCCUUCUCUUUUACAAGUUCUUCCUUAGCUCUCUCCUUUUUGGGCUCUGGCUUUGCCUUCUCUGCAAUGGGCUUUGGUUUGGCCUUGUCCUUAGGAGAUUCUGGCCUAGGUUUCUCCUCCUUGAAUUCUACCAUAGCUUCUUCCUUAUCGGUAGUAGGUUCUGGUUUAGCCUUCUCCUUUACGGAUUCUAGCUUGGCUUUCUGCUUUUCUGGUUCUGGCUUAGUCUUCUCCGUAAUGGGUUCUUGCUUAGGUUUCUCUUUUUCAGAUUUUGGCUUAGCUUUUUCCUUUACCGAUGCAGGCUCUGGCUUAGCUUUUACCUUUACCGAUGCAGGCUCUGGCUUAGCUUGCACCUUUACCGAUGCAGGCUCUGGCUUAGGUUCUUCUUUUACAGAUGCAGGCUCUGGCUUAGCUUUUUCCUUUACCGAUGCAGGCUCUGGCUUAGCUUGCACCUUUACCGAUGCAGGCUCUGGCUUAGCUUUUUCCUUUACCGAUGCAGGCUCUGGCUUAGCUUUUUCCUUUACCGAUGCAGGCUCUGGCUUAGCUUGCACCUUUACCGAUGCAGGCUCUGGCUUAGCUUUUUCCUUUACCGAUGCAGGCUUAGGUUCUUCUUUUACAGGUUCUGGUUUAUCUUUUUCCUUCACAGGUACAGGUGGAGGUGCAGGUUCUGAAUU
Clupea harengus (Atlantic herring) is the source of this 2341-nucleotide long non-coding RNA. The record is from Ensembl. NCBI's taxonomy places the organism in Eukaryota, Metazoa, Chordata, Actinopteri, Clupeiformes, Clupeidae.